GGACGUGACUCAAUGGCAAGUUAAGUCGUCCACUGUGCUGGUAACGCAGACCGUCACAUCCUACCCGACACCACACCUCAUCACCACAACGCAGAAGCUGACAGGCACCAGGUAUGUCACACAGAUGCAGUUCCAGACAGAAACAAAAUACAUAACGAAAACAGAGUCGAAGACAUAUACGGACACAGCAGUUGUCACGGACUAUGCUACCAGGACCCGCCCAGUCACGUCUCUAUACACCGUCACUGCCACCCUCACAUCCACCCAUCUCCAGAGAGACACUUUCGUAGUUACCGCCACCAAGUAUCAAUAUGUGACCCAGACUGAGCGUGUGCCAUACUACUUGACCCGGACGGUCACCUCCCAGUAUGUGGUGUAUGAGACCUACACCCACACCAGUGUUGAGGACGAAUUCGUUACCCAAACAUCCUUCGCCUUCCAAUCCUCAUUUGUCACGCGCUGCUCACUCCGAACCACCCCUACUACUCACUACCAAGGUUAAACCACUCUGCACCAUCUCAACAACAACUACAUUGCACCAACUCAUCACCCACAACCCCCCUAGGCUAGGUCACUCCACACCUAACCAUCCUCUAGGCUAGGUCACUAUCUGUAUCAAUCACCAUGAAACCUAGGUACCAUCACUGGGGCCACAGUCCACUAUGGUUAUGAAAAAUAUACAUCCAUCACUAAUCCUACUAAUGUCAUUAAGGCCAUACUCCGCCAGGCCCACUAGCAGUAACUAGAGUAUCAGCUUCAAAUCUAAAAGAUUGACUGCUUCCAUCACUUUUAUCAUCGGUAGAUGACUUUAUUCUGCACUAGCCUGACUGCAGGUUCACAGAGUAGGAAAUUUGAGUUUUCUCAUAUGCUUCAGAGAACUAACCUGAGAGUUUUUUGAUGGUUUCUGUGUUACUAGGAGAGUGUAAUAUUAGGUCUUCCCAUGGCCUGUUGAUUAUUUCAGUUAUUUCGUGUUGGUAUUUUAGUAAUUUUUGGUAUUAAUUCUUAGAUAUAAAUGACAAUAUUCCUCUUGUCACUUUUUUUAGUCCAACUAUCACAGGAUAUAAGUAAUAUUCUUUAGGAAUCUGGUAAUAUAUUAGUUUUAAGUGCUGCUGCUCUUUGUAAAUACCCUGUAAGUUGUACUCAUUUAAGUUGUAUUAGAUGUAAAUAAUGCGUAGUUUUACAAGUUGCACAUUUUUUAGAAUAAAUUAAUAUUCUGCCUU
Long non-coding RNA from Homarus americanus (American lobster), 1220 nucleotides. RefSeq lists it as uncharacterized. The transcript has 3 exons. The record is from RefSeq and is a predicted model, not a curated record. NCBI's taxonomy places the organism in Eukaryota, Metazoa, Arthropoda, Malacostraca, Decapoda, Nephropidae.